Molecule: ribosomal RNA, 377 nt
Filed under: uncultured bacterium
Lineage: Bacteria
Description: bacterial SSU rRNA
Rfam family: Bacterial small subunit ribosomal RNA
Source: RNAcentral
ACUCCUACGGGAGGCAGCAGUGGGGAAUAUUGCACAAUGGGGGAAACCCUGAUGCAGCCAUGCCGCGUGUGUGAAGAAGGCCUUCGGUUGUAAAGCACUUUCAGUAGGGUAGGAAGGUAGUGUAGUUAACACCUGCAUUAUUUGUACGUUACCUACAGAAGAAGCACCGGCUAACUCCGUGCCAGCAGCCGCGGUAAUACGGAGGGUGCGAGCGUUAAUCGGGUAAUUACUGGGCGUAAAGCGCAUGCAGGCGGCCUGUUAAGUCAGAUGUGAAAGCCCGGGGCUUAACCUCGGAAUUGCAUUUGAAACUGGCAGGCUAGAGUCUUGUAGAGGGGUUAGAAUUUCAGGUGUAGCGGUGAAAUGCGUAGAGAUCUGAA